This 250-nucleotide unclassified non-coding RNA is filed under the name plant metagenome. RNAcentral's name for it is "partial contains small subunit ribosomal RNA, internal transcribed spacer 1, and 5.8S ribosomal RNA". The record is from RNAcentral.
GUAGGUGAACCUGCGGAAGGAUCAUUAACACGUUUUACCAAAAACGUUAAACUACCAUAUCAAAAACCAAUCGCGAACUAACGUAGGUACAUUAAUAGUGUUCAGAUUAAGUUGAUCUUGGCCAAAAGACUCAGAGUCGCAAGGCUCUGUCUGGUUUGAGCUAUAACAAACGCAGAGGUGGGUGCUGCGGGCUCAAAUUGGAUUUCAAUCCUGGAGGUUUUUUGUUCUGAACAUUAGUACCGAUCAACCC